This 3005-nucleotide long non-coding RNA is filed under the name Elaeis guineensis (African oil palm). RNAcentral's name for it is "long non-coding RNA (EGUI_LNC030212)". Lineage: Eukaryota; Viridiplantae; Streptophyta; Magnoliopsida; Arecales; Arecaceae. The record is from RNAcentral.
CUCCUCCCCGCUUCCUUGCCUCAACCCAACAACCUCCCAUGCACCAUGCCAUCGCCCACCGCUCCACAUGACAGCCAGAGGCCCAGCCUAGAAGCCCAAAAACCAGAAUGUAGCAGGCUUGGGCCUAGGAAAGAGGCCCAUAGGCCAGGUUGGGCCCCAGCUUGGAAAAAAUUGGCACGGUGACUUGGGCUGAGCCCAUCCCAAAUCUGGCUUGCCUAGUAAGCAGCUCUAAUCACAAGUCAACUAGCAUGAACUCAGGAUUGUUAGUGAUUACCAAGUACAAGUAGAAGCUCAACAAAGAGUUGCAAACUAAGAGAUAAUAAGGGAUAUAACAGACACACAAAACAGAUCAACCAUUUUCCUUGCAUAUGAAGGUUAGGAGAAGAUGUUACUAAGAAACAGCAUUACAACAUUUGUAAUAAUUGUGCAUGUAUGUCGUUCUGUUAUCUUUUCUUCCAAACAAGCAAAUAUUAUUUAGUAGCAGAAUAUAGAAUUGCAAAAUUCUUGCUACAGAGAAUAUAAGGAUGGGAAACAGCAUCACCUUAUUCUUUAAUUGUUGUUCCUGUGCUAUUCAACUUGAUUUUCCAAUCACGUAAAUGUAAGAUCUCCUGAUCUGCAUUUGUAAAACAAGCAUUUUGUGAUUCACAGAACCUUUGGAUAUAAGCAAAAAAAUCUCAUGAUGCAAUUGGAACAAUAGGUUCAUGAGUGCCACCAAACCUCUCUCUUUUUUAUUUUUAGUGCAUACCCACUUCAAAAGCAAAUUAACAGGCAGAUAUGUUGCAAUCAGCAGUGCUAGAUUAAAAUUUCAACUGCUGUAUGGAUAUUCCAGUUUGUAACGCAAAUCACAAUUGCUUGAUUCUAUUUUUGGUGCCGAUACAGAAACAUGAACCAGUAGAUAAGAUUGCAGAUAAGAUCUUGAUGACUGCAAUGAUGCCAAACAUUGGAUCACCCAGUCGUUUGAAUCCUUACAUGCACUCUGAAAUGCACAGUUUUAAACAAUUAAGAGAAGAAACAUACAUAGAAAUAUUGAUUAUUUGAUUCCUGAAUUAAUCACCUGGAUUGGUAGCCCAGUCAAUAUUAAGAUGCAGUGGUAUGAUGAUGAAAUUUGCUUUUUCUUUAUUUGUUGAACACUUUAAAUUUUAUAACAAUUCCGAGUUCCCUGAUGUAAAGCUAGUUGAAACUCAAAAGUUAAAUAACUAAACGACAAUCCUUGACACAAUGUUUUGCAUUCAUUAACACCUCAUAGUUCAUACUACUAACUGGUUAAGGAAGUGGCCUGGAGAAGAAAAUGAACUGCAAAGCAACGACCUCGUAUAAGCAAUUCAAUAAAUAAGAAUAUUCAGACAUGAACUUCCAUUUUCAUUUUCAUGUGAAUAUAACGUGUUUCACAGAUCAUAAGAUUUUGUCCAUAAUCUUCCACAGUUUGAAUGCUGUGGUCACAGAAAUUAUUUUGCCAUAUUCAUAACAAAAAAUGUGAUAACUAGAGGAAUGUUUUAAUAUGAAGAGAAAAAACUCUUAGAAGUUAUAUUGUACCAUGAUAACCACCGCAAAUGACAGGCACAGCUGACAAGACCCUACAUAUUCACGUGAGGUCCUGAAUGGCAAGUCACACUAGCUUAUUGGUUGGCUAUAAAGGAUUAGUAGAGAAGUUGAAAGACCAAGAGAUGGCUAUAAAUUCUAAUGACAACUCUACCAAACAGUCAAUCAUCUCCAUUAUGCUGGAAAAUUUUAUAUGAAACCUGAAUGCUUCAGCACAGAAUACUAUAUGUGAUGCUAGCCAGGGAUUCAAGUCCCAAUGGGACGUCCCAUAGGACACCGGGAUGAGGUACCAUCCUAUAUGUUGGGACAGACCAUCCCGCUAGCGUCCCGGUAUCCCGAUCAGGACGUCUUCGGACAUUCUCUGUCUCAAGUGUCAGGACAGGGUGGGACGGCGAUGCAUCCCUUUCCAUGAAAAAAUCGGGACAGCCUCGUCCCACGGGAUUUAAAACCUUGAUGCUAGCAACAUAUAUGAUUAGAUCAAUGAGAUUCUCAGAGCAUCUAAUUACUUACUCUCACUACGUGCAUCAAUCUAAACAUAUUUAACAACCCUUCUUUGCUUUGUUCAAUCAACAUAACAACAGCUUUAUGGAUAAUCUUAUAAUUCACUACAAUCCAAGAAUGUCUGGUGACCAGCUCAUAAUGCCCAAUGAAUGGAUGUUAAAUUCCUGACAAAGGCAAAUUCAGGAAAUAUAGAGUCCUACCAUGGAACGUAGAAGGCUACUUUAUACCUUAGCACUCAACAAGGCUUGUCUUAUUGCCAUCGAGUUUAAUUUCAUAAGACCCGAGAACGAGCCUUGAUGGAAUGAGAUGAAGACAGCGUUCGAUAUAAAGAAUGGCAUCCCCACCCGUCAAUCACCAAUUACAUACUCCUCCGGCUGCCUCACCAACACAUUUAAUCCAUUCACAAAAGACUCAAUAAAUCACAAGAGGAUCAUCCCGUAUUUAAUCAUUUUCCUAAUCCACCAGAAAAUAUAAGAGAACAUCCGCUUGGACAAGAAGUUCUAGAUGAAUUCUAAAACACAAACUUCAAUAAAAUCAACAGAGUCCAAUAAGACUAUCCCAUUUGAGAUCGAAUCCAAUGCCAUCAAAUACACCAAACCACAGAAUCCACUCAGACCCAGAGAUCGCAAGCGUGCUUGCAUGAGACAAAAGAAAGGGGAGCAGGAAACAUGAUUCUCGAAGGUCCGAUCCUCAAAAACCCUAACUCUAGAACGAAUCUGGGAAGCGAAACCCUAACCCUAAAACAGGAGAAGGAUCGCGAGCCUUACUCUAUUGAGCUAUUCCGGGAGAGGACGGCACAGAGAAGGAUCGGAGUGGCCGGAAGGUGACCGGAAUCGCAGCCGAGUGGGAGAGCUUGCCCGCGUCCGCGAAGAGAGGCUGACAGAAACGAAGGAAAGGAGAAAGGAAGGGGGACGCGGAAAGGAAAAGAUAGAAGCAAAGGAAAUUUCGAGGACGUGGCAAAUUAU